GGCUGCGACGGCGGAGGAGCAGCGAAGCGAGGUGGGCCCGGCUUUGCGUCCGUGUCCGAAUCGGCCGCGGUCCGUGGGAGAGGCAGAAGCGAGCAGAGUCCGAGGUUUUGCUGGAGGACAGCGGUGUGGGUGCAGUAAAUCACGGCCAGACUGCAGGUGAUGUGCGGUGAGCUUGGAAGCACUGAGCCCUCCUUGCCGUUACUCUCCAGACAGGGGCUGCGGUCGCGUUCCCAGCACACGGGUUCUGCACGGUGUUUGUGGGAGGAGCUGCAGUCCAGAGACCUGACCUCAGGUACAGAUGUGUCCCCUGCUGGGGGGAGACCUGUCUGCCAUGUGCCUGAUCACCACCAAAGCACCGCCGGUGCCCUCGCUGGAAGCAGAGCAGGCUGUCGGCAGCUGAGCAGCGUCUCGCAGGACGAGGCUCCCUGCAGGCUCCUGCUGGGCCGAAGCUCCGUGUGAAAGUCUUUCCCUGAUCUCAUAGGACGUGCUUGACAUCCAGUAUUGCCCGUGACGAGAGGAAGACAAGAGGCAACAUUGUAUGAGGCUACUGAAAAUAGCAAAUCAAACAGUUGGUCAGGAAACCAGCUGAGGACUGUGCCAUCCACUGAACCGGGAAGAGUCUCCAUUCCCUGGCUCACGCUCGUCCUUCCAUACAUGGAGGUACAGAAGAGAUGAUGAAAGCAUUCUUGUGUGCUGGGAUUCCCGUUCUCCUAUGGGAGUUUGUUCUAGUCUGCGUUCUCAUGGCUGUGCUGCUCAACUCGAUGUGGCUGUUCCUGCUGUGAUCUUCAGUGAACAUCACUGUGAUUGCUGACAGCUCGCAGAAACAGAACAUUUCAACUGCUUUUCUUAAAGCUCAACUCUAUGUAAAGGAGAAGUGACUAGAAACCCCAAACUGGGUCCUGGGUCUUGCUUAACUCUGUAAAGCACACUGACUUGCUGACACGACUCCAGUUAAGGUAUGGUAUGAAUCAGGAGCUCCAACAGCCGCUGUGGAAUGAGUGCGUUCACAUGAAGUCAUCCUGCAGCAGCUAUUGCAGAAUAGUCAACUGCUCUGUGUAAGCAAGCCCUAAAAGACAAUCCUGGUCCCAGCAGUUGUGUGACUAGGUAAGGGAGGUAAUGGGCACAAGAAAGGCAUAUUCUGUCUGCUAAGGAUGGGCUGGGAGCAAAGAAACCUGUGCUGCUCAGGGCUGCCUUGCAGGUCGCUGCCUUUGGAGUUGUUUGCUUCAGGACUUUCUGCUUUGAUGCCUUCGAUUUCUGAGACCGGUCCAGCAUACGAAGCCACAGACUGUUUCCUCAUGUAGCUGAUGCAGUGUCUUCACCUGAUACCAAAACAAGAUGUGAGGAAUUGAACGUUUCCCCUGGUGAGAUGUGUGGAUGGAACUGACCUGCUUUUAAUCCAGUAUCUACCGAUCAAAUAAACAGAAGCACCACCACUACUAACAGGAAUGACUGACGCUUAGUACUGGAAACAGGAAGAUCCAGAAGGGGAUUUUGUGCCUAUGUUACAAUUUUUAUCUUUAGUAUUCACAUCUUACUCAAAGUAAGAAUAUUUGUAUGUUAAAAUAACCCCCUUUUUGCUUUGUAAUACUGGAUUGAGCCUGCCCAGCUUCUUCCUAUCACAGCUCUGCCCCAUGGAGAGAACCCAGUGGUGGAUGUGGAGGUCAGAAGAGCUCCUCCAAAUGCAGGGGAUGUGCACAGGACAAUCCUGCAGCUCUUCCUGAAGCUAGUGCAUGGAUGAAUGGAUCGUCUUCUCAUGUGCUAUGGGAACUCUGCCUAUAUAAAUGUCUGACAAACUCUUCCAGUGCUUUAUAACCGUGUUUCUUCUACCUUCUGAAGCCAGCGCCCUCUCUUCAGCUCUGCCACACUGAACAUCCCACACAGCCACUUCUGUGUCACUCACAGUCGAGUCGUCUUCUGAGUCCUGCUUCAGAUUUCUCCUUCCCAAAGACAGAUGAUGGGAACUGGCUGUGACUUUCCAGACGGAGGCUGAGCAGUUCCUUGUAUGGUGGCAGGAGUGCUUCCCCAUCUUUACUGGAAAUAUCUUGCCUAAUAAACCCGAUGAUCUCA
Long non-coding RNA from Lagopus leucura (white-tailed ptarmigan), 2067 nucleotides. RefSeq lists it as uncharacterized. The transcript has 5 exons. NCBI's taxonomy places the organism in Eukaryota, Metazoa, Chordata, Aves, Galliformes, Phasianidae. The record is from RefSeq and is a predicted model, not a curated record.